Molecule: ribosomal RNA, 419 nt
Filed under: uncultured Actinomycetales bacterium
Lineage: Bacteria; Bacillati; Actinomycetota; Actinomycetes; Actinomycetales
Description: bacterial SSU rRNA
Rfam family: Bacterial small subunit ribosomal RNA
Source: RNAcentral
GGGGGAUAUUGCACAAUGGACGGAAGUCUGAUGCAGCGACGCCGCGUGGGGGAUGAAGGCUUUCGGGUGGUAAACCUCUGUUAUUCCUGAACAGGGCUUGGACUGUUGACUGGGUUGAGGGUAGGGGGUGAAGUAGCGCCGUGUAACCACGUGCCAGCAGCCGCGGUAAUACGUAGGUCGCGAGCGUUGUCCGGAUUUAUUGGGCGUAAAGAGCUCGUAGGCGGUUUGUGCGUCUGCUGUGAAAACGCGGGGCUUAACUUCGCGCGUGCAGUGGGUACGGGCAGGCUAGAGUGCGGUAGGGGAGAUUGGAAUUCCUGGUGUAGCGGUGGAAUGCGCAGAUAUCAGGAGGAACACCUAUGGCGAAGGCAGGUCUCUGGGCCGUUACUGACGCUGAGGAGCGAAAGCGUGGGGAGCGAACA